This 254-nucleotide ribosomal RNA is filed under the name uncultured bacterium. RNAcentral's name for it is "partial 16S ribosomal RNA". It matches the Rfam family "Bacterial small subunit ribosomal RNA", at positions 524 to 776 of the family's 1533-position model. The record is from RNAcentral.
UACGUAGGCAGCGAGCGUUGUUCGGAGUUACUGGGCGUAAAGGGUGUGUAGGCGGUUGUUUAAGUUUGGUGUGAAAUCUCCCGGCUCAACUGGGAGGGUGCGCUGAAUACUGAAUGACUUCGAGUGCGGGAGAGGAAAGUGGAAUUCCUGGUGUAGCGGUGAAAUGCGCAGAUAUCAGGAGGAACACCAAUGGCGAAGGCAGCACUCUGGGACGUGACUGACGCUGAGACGCGAAAGCGUGGGGAGCAAACAGG